RNAcentral lists this transfer RNA (99 nucleotides) under Gloeophyllum trabeum ATCC 11539. RNAcentral's name for it is "tRNA-Met". It matches the Rfam family "tRNA". From Rfam's summary of the family: Transfer RNA (tRNA) molecules are approximately 80 nucleotides in length. Their secondary structure includes four short double-helical elements and three loops (D, anti-codon, and T loops). Lineage: Eukaryota; Fungi; Basidiomycota; Agaricomycetes; Gloeophyllales; Gloeophyllaceae. The record is from RNAcentral.
AGCAGCAUGGCGCAGUGGAAGCGCGUUGGGCUCAUAGGAUUACGUAAGCAAUCACAUGAUGUAACCCAAAGGUCGCUCGAUCGAAACGAGCUGCUGCUA